Molecule: ribosomal RNA, 305 nt
Filed under: uncultured bacterium
Lineage: Bacteria
Description: bacterial SSU rRNA
Rfam family: Bacterial small subunit ribosomal RNA
Source: RNAcentral
UCCUUACGGGAGGCAGCAGUGGGGAAUAUUGGGCAAUGGAGGCAACUCUGACCCAGCAACGCCGCGUGAGUGAUGAAGGUCUUCGGAUUGUAAAACUCUUUAAGUGGGGACGAAGAAAGUGACUGUACCCACAGAAUAAGCCUCGGCUAACUACGUGCCAGCAGCCGCGGUAAUACGUAGGAGGCAAGCGUUAUCCGGAAUGACUGGGCGUAAAGGGUGCGUAGGUGGUUUGACAAGUUAGUAGCGUAAUUCCGGGGCUCAACUUCGGAACUACUACUAAAACUGUUGGGCUUGAGUGCAGGAGG